UACGGAGGGUGCAAGCGUUAUCCGGAUUCACUGGGUUUAAAGGGUGCGUAGGUGGGUUGGUAAGUCAGUGGUGAAAUCUCCGAGCUUAACUCGGAAACUGCCAUUGAUACUAUCAAUCUUGAACCAUCUGGAGGUAAGCGGAAUAUGUCAUGUAGCGGUGAAAUGCUUAGAUAUGACAUAGAACACCAAUUGCGAAGGCAGCUCGCUACACAUAUAUUGACUCUGAGGCACGAAAGCGUGGGGAUCAAACAGG
RNAcentral lists this ribosomal RNA (253 nucleotides) under uncultured bacterium. RNAcentral describes it as "partial 16S ribosomal RNA". It matches the Rfam family "Bacterial small subunit ribosomal RNA", at positions 524 to 776 of the family's 1533-position model. The record is from RNAcentral.